UACGGGGGGGGCAAGCGUUGUUCGGAAUUACUGGGCGUAAAGGGCUCGUAGGCGGCCAACUAAGUCAGACGUGAAAUCCCUCGGCUUAACCGGGGAACUGCAUCUGAUACUGGAUGGCUUGAGUUCGGGAGAGGGAUGCGGAAUUCCAGGUGUAGCGGUGAAAUUCGUAGAUAUCAGGAGGAACACCGGCGGCGAAGGCGGCUUCCUGGCCCAUUACUGACGUUCAGGUACGAAAGCGUGGGUAGCAAACAGG
RNAcentral lists this ribosomal RNA (253 nucleotides) under uncultured bacterium. RNAcentral's name for it is "partial 16S ribosomal RNA". It matches the Rfam family "Bacterial small subunit ribosomal RNA", at positions 524 to 776 of the family's 1533-position model. The record is from RNAcentral.